GAUCAUGGCUCAGGAUGAACGCUGGCGGCGUGCCUAACACAUGCAAGUCGAACGAAGCUUGACGGAUGAUUUCUUCGGAAUGAAACCAGAUAUGACUUAGUGGCGGACGGGUGAGUAACACGUGAGCAACCUGCCUUUCAGAGGGGGAUAACGGCUGGAAACGGUCGCUAAUACCGCAUGAUGUGUUCGGAUGGCAUCAUCUGAACAUCAAAGAUUUAUCGCCGAAAGA
RNAcentral lists this ribosomal RNA (229 nucleotides) under uncultured bacterium. RNAcentral describes it as "partial 16S ribosomal RNA". It matches the Rfam family "Bacterial small subunit ribosomal RNA", at positions 15 to 225 of the family's 1533-position model. The record is from RNAcentral.